RNAcentral lists this ribosomal RNA (618 nucleotides) under Malbranchea flocciformis. RNAcentral's name for it is "LSU rRNA". It matches the Rfam family "Eukaryotic large subunit ribosomal RNA", at positions 38 to 667 of the family's 3401-position model. The record is from RNAcentral. Lineage: Eukaryota; Fungi; Ascomycota; Eurotiomycetes; Onygenales; Malbrancheaceae.
GCAUAUCAAUAAGCGGAGGAAAAGAAACCAACAGGGAUUGCCCCAGUAACGGCGAGUGAAGCGGCAAAAGCUCAAAUUUGAAAUCUGGCUCCUUCCGGGGUCCGAGUUGUAAUUUGAAGAGGAUGCUUUGGGUGCGUCCGCGGCGUAAGUCCCCUGGAACGGGGUGUCAGAGAGGGUGAGAAUCCCGUCUUGAGUCGCUGGUACGUGCCCGUCUAAAGCUCCUUCGACGAGUCGAGUUGUUUGGGAAUGCAGCUCUAAGUGGGUGGUAAAUUUCAUCUAAAGCUAAAUAUUGGCCGGAGACCGAUAGCGAACAAGUAGAGUGAUCGAAAGGUUAAAAGCACCUUGAAAAGGGAGUUAAAUAGCACGUGAAAUUGUUGAAAGGGAAGCGCUUGCAGCCAGACUCGAGCGCGGGGGCUCAGCGGGCAUCGUUAUGCCCGUGCACUCCCCCGCGCCCGGGCCAGCAUCAGUUUUGGCGGCCGGUCAAAGGCCCCCGGAAUGUAUCGUCCUCCGGGACGUCUUAUAGCCGGGGGUGCAAUGCGGCCAGCCGGGACUGAGGAACGCGCUUCGGCACGGAUGCUGGCGUAAUGGCUGUAAGCGGCCCGUCUUGAAACACGGACC